UUAGANGCUGGCGGCAGGCCUAACACAUGCAAGUNCGAGCGGUAACAGUAAAUAGCUUGCUACUUUGCUGACGAGCGGCGGACGGGUGAGUAAUGCUUGGGAACAUGCCUUGAGGUGGGGGACAACAGUUGGAAACGACUGCUAAUACCGCAUAAUGUCUACGGACCAAAGGGGGCUUCGGCUCUCGCCUUUAGAUUGGCCCAAGUGGGAUUAGCUAGUUGGUGAGGUAAUGGCUCACCAAGGCGACGAUCCCUAGCUGGUUUGAGAGGAUGAUCANCCACACUGGNACUGANACACGGCCANGAUU
Molecule: ribosomal RNA, 307 nt
Filed under: Pseudoalteromonas sp. G24p0
Lineage: Bacteria; Pseudomonadati; Pseudomonadota; Gammaproteobacteria; Alteromonadales; Pseudoalteromonadaceae
Description: bacterial SSU rRNA
Rfam family: Bacterial small subunit ribosomal RNA
Source: RNAcentral